Non-coding RNA from Actinia tenebrosa (Australian red waratah sea anemone), 72 nucleotides. The record is from the annotation of a RefSeq genome assembly. NCBI's taxonomy places the organism in Eukaryota, Metazoa, Cnidaria, Anthozoa, Actiniaria, Actiniidae.
ACCUUGAUAGUACAGUGGGUAGUAUGCCCGCCUGUCACGCAGGAGACCGGGGUCCAAUUCCCCGUCAAGGAA